RNAcentral lists this transfer RNA (77 nucleotides) under Camelus bactrianus (Bactrian camel). It matches the Rfam family "tRNA". From Rfam's summary of the family: Transfer RNA (tRNA) molecules are approximately 80 nucleotides in length. Their secondary structure includes four short double-helical elements and three loops (D, anti-codon, and T loops). Lineage: Eukaryota; Metazoa; Chordata; Mammalia; Artiodactyla; Camelidae. RNAcentral also lists the same sequence under 1 other name. The record is from Rfam by way of RNAcentral.
GAAGGUAUGGCUCAGUGGUAGAGCACAUGCUUAGCAUGCAUGAGGUCUUGUCUUGGGUUCAAUCCCCAGUACCUCCA